CAGAUGUGUUUCAGAGGAACUUGACCAAGGUGCAGUAAGCCUCUGAGAACUUUUUGUCAGGAGUCCUCCAGCUCACAUUGACUUUAUUCAUACAUUGCAUCCUCAUGCUGCAGGGAUAUUAUUGAUGUGGGACAAGAAUAUUAAGAGCAACUUGGAAAUGGUAGAAAGUAAUAUCUCUUUCGGCAUCAAUCUUUAUUGAUUCAGACAGCACAGAUGGACAGGCUUUCCCAGGAAAGACAAGAGCCAAGUGUACACCAGCUCUGACAAUAUAGGAUCAAUUCAGCUCACAGCUAAAGACUCCCAAGAAAAGAGGUUUAAAAGUCUCACAAUUCAGAGUUAGACUAUGGCGAUACUUGGAAAAGGACAUCUUUCAUUGUGGCUCUAAAUGAAGCAAGAUUGGACUCCCACCUUGGGAUCCAGCAUCUAGCACUUAGUAGGAAGAGAAAACUAAAGAAGGAAAAACCAUCAUCAACAACAAACCAUCCCACAAGGUUUGAACACUGCCUGAGUGCAUUUUUGCCAUGUUAAACUAUUAGAAGAGCUAUCUUGGGAAAGCAAGUAGAAGAAGAGGUUGGAGAAUAGGUGAUUCAAAAAAGCACUUCAGUAUUUCAUAUUUUUGAUGUGUUUUCCAUUAGACAACACUUGCCCAGCUGCAAGAGUUUUUUUAACACCAACUGGAGCUGGCUGCUUGACAUAGCUGAGGCUACAUAAAAUUCUGAGUGCUCCUGUCUCUGUUGGAGC
RNAcentral lists this long non-coding RNA (741 nucleotides) under Cyanistes caeruleus (blue tit). RNAcentral describes it as "lncRNA (ENSCCEG00000013828.1)". The record is from RNAcentral. Lineage: Eukaryota; Metazoa; Chordata; Aves; Passeriformes; Paridae.